UUUACCCACACAGCCGAUCUCACAUUCUCAGAUCUCACUCUCUGUUUCUCUCGAGUCACUCUCUCAGAGUCUCAGUUUCUCUCAACUCUCCGAACGAACACCGACGUCUCUGUCAGCCAUCUCCAUCGCCGACGUCUCUCUCAGCCAUCUCCAUCUCCGAUUCUGACGUAUCUCUCAGGCUCUCUCCAUCUCCGAUUCCCACACAGCCAUCUCCAUCUCCGACGUCUCUCUCAGCCAUCUCCAACGUCUACCUCUUCUCCGACGUCUCUCUCUUCUCCGGGCUCCGAUGAUGGAAGGAACUCAAGGAGCUCCAACUGGAUCCUGCAGCAGCUAUGAGAGUUGUUCCAUUAUAUCAAGAACCUACUAGAACUGAGUUGGAGAUGUAUGGUGAGCUGGAAAAGCUUGAAUCAGAAUCAGGGGUUACUCAGGUCACCGCAUCUGAGGAAAUGUGAUGAUGACAUGAUGAGUUGAGCUGCUGAAGGCCUGUUUUUGAUGGCAGCAAUUUUUUUUUCUUUCCCUACAAUGCUUACUACUUUCUUUCUUUUUCUGUUGGACUGUGUUAAGACUGUUGGCAGCAUUGCAGCAAGACUUAUUUAGCUAUUCGGUUUGUAAUAAGUUAAUAACUUAACUUAUUUAGCUUCAUUGCUUUGAACUUAGUUAGCUAAUGUUGGACACUUGAACUGCUUGGUGAUGUCUAAAAUUAUAGGUUUGAUAAUUUGCAGGUUUGAUUCGUUUGAA
Long non-coding RNA from Rosa rugosa (rugosa rose), 738 nucleotides. RefSeq lists it as uncharacterized. The record is from RefSeq and is a predicted model, not a curated record. The transcript is spliced from 3 exons. NCBI's taxonomy places the organism in Eukaryota, Viridiplantae, Streptophyta, Magnoliopsida, Rosales, Rosaceae.